Molecule: ribosomal RNA, 253 nt
Filed under: uncultured bacterium
Lineage: Bacteria
Description: partial 16S ribosomal RNA
Rfam family: Bacterial small subunit ribosomal RNA
Source: RNAcentral
UACGUGGGGUCCGAGCGUUGUCCGGAGUUAUUGGGCGUAAAGCGCGCGCAGGCGGCUUCGCGCGCCCGACGUGAAAGCCCCCGGCUUAACCGGGGAGAGUCGUUGGGGACGGCGGAGCUUGAGGGCGGGAGAGGUCGGUGGAAUUCCCGGUGUAGUGGUGAAAUGCGUAGAGAUCCGGAGGAACCCCAGAGGCGAAGGCGGCGCCCUGGCUCGCAACUGACGCUCAGACACGACAGCAUGGGGAGCGAACGGG